This 88-nucleotide transfer RNA is filed under the name Salmonella enterica subsp. enterica serovar Cubana str. CVM42234. RNAcentral describes it as "tRNA-Ser". The record is from RNAcentral. Lineage: Bacteria; Pseudomonadati; Pseudomonadota; Gammaproteobacteria; Enterobacterales; Enterobacteriaceae.
GGGGGGGUGCCGGGGUGGCUGAAGGACCCCCCCUGGAAAGUGUUUAUACGGAAACGUAGGGGGGGUUCAAACCCCCCCCUCACCGCCA